RNAcentral lists this ribosomal RNA (468 nucleotides) under uncultured bacterium. Its description in RNAcentral is "partial 16S ribosomal RNA". It matches the Rfam family "Bacterial small subunit ribosomal RNA", at positions 28 to 507 of the family's 1533-position model. The record is from RNAcentral.
GAUGAACGCUGGCGGCGUGCUUAACACAUGCAAGUCGAACGGAAAGGCCCAAGCUUGCUUGGGUACUCGAGUGGCGAACGGGUGAGUAACACGUGGGUUAUCUGCCCUGCACUUCGGGAUAAGCCUGGGAAACUGGGUCUAAUACCGGAUAGGACGAUGGUUUGGAUGCCAUUGUGGAAAGUUUUUUCGGUGUGGGAUGAGCUCGCGGCCUAUCAGCUUGUUGGGGGGGUAAUGGCCUACCAAGGCGUCGACGGGGAGCCGGCCUGAGAGGGUGUGCGGCCACAGUGGGGCUGGGAUACGGCCCAGAAUCCUACGGGGGGGAGGAGGGGGGAAUAUUGGACAAUGGGCGCAAGGCUGAUGCAGCGACGCCGCGUGGGGGGUGAAGGCCUUCGGGUUGUAAACUCCUUUCGCUAGGGACGAAGCGUUUUUGUGACGGUACCUGGAGAAGAAGCACCGGCUAACUACGUG